AACGCGAAGAACCUUACCAAGGUUUGACAUGCAGGGAAAAGCCGUAGAGAUACGGUGUCCGUAAGGGUCCUGCACAGGUGGUGCAUGGCUGUCGUCAGCUCGUGUCGUGAGAUGUUGGGUUAAGUCCCGCAACGAGCGCAACCCUCGUCCUAUGUUGCCAGCGGGUAAUGCCGGGGACUCAUAGGAGACUGCCGGGGUCAACUCGGAGGAAGGUGGGGAUGACGUCAAGUCCUCAUGCCCCUUAUAUCUUGGGCUGCAAACAUGCUACAAUGGCCAGUACAGAGGGCUGCGAGACCGUAAGGUGGAGCGAAUCUCAAAAAGCUGGUCUCAGUUCGGAUUGGGGUCUGCAACUCGACCCCAUGAAGUCGGAGUCGCUAGUAAUCGCGAAUCAGCAACGUCGCGGUGAAUACGUUCCCGGGCCUUGUA
This 426-nucleotide ribosomal RNA is filed under the name uncultured Actinomycetes bacterium. RNAcentral's name for it is "bacterial SSU rRNA". It matches the Rfam family "Bacterial small subunit ribosomal RNA", at positions 958 to 1385 of the family's 1533-position model. The record is from RNAcentral. Lineage: Bacteria; Bacillati; Actinomycetota; Actinomycetes.